Molecule: transfer RNA, 109 nt
Filed under: Brevundimonas bullata
Lineage: Bacteria; Pseudomonadati; Pseudomonadota; Alphaproteobacteria; Caulobacterales; Caulobacteraceae
Description: tRNA-Arg
Source: RNAcentral
GCGUUGAUGGCACCGUGUGGCUGUUUUACAGCUAGAACCUUGAAACAACACGAUUUGUGUCUGCCUUCUAAGCGGGAUGUUGCAGGUUCGAGUCCUGCAGGGCGCGCCA